GGAAGGAUCAUUAACAAAUUCAACCAAACAACACACCUGUGAACCGGUCGGUGCAAGCCGACAGCUAUACGCUUGUAAUUGUAGUCGUACCAAAGAUGUAAUUAAUACAACUUUUAACAAUGGAUCUCUUGGCUCUCGCAACGAUGAAGAACGCAGUGAAUUGCGAUAACUAGUGUGAAUUGCAUUACUUUGUGAAUCAUCGAGUCUUUGAACGCAUAUUGCACUGUUUGGCCCUCCAAACAGUAUGCCUGUUUGAGUAUCAUAAACACCCUACAAGCAAUUACGCUUGUGACGUGGGCACCAAGGGCGCAAGCUCUUCCGCCUUAAAUGUAGCUUCAGAUGAUGGUGCGCCUUCGAUGAGUGAGCCUAUCGCGACAAGCGCAACAUGCCUUGGAAACGAAUGGACACGCAGCCGAUGACGCCUGUCGACAAGUCUGAGGACGUUAUGCGCUGCCCUGUGCAGCACACUACUCAUACAACUGUGAUCUCAAAUCAGGCAAGACUACCCGCUGAACUUAAGCAUAUCAGUAAGCGGAGGAAAAGAAACUAACUAGGAUUCCCUCAGUAACGGCGAGUGAAGCGGGAACAGCUCAAAUUUGUAAUCGGGACGGCUUCGCUGUCUCGAGUUGUACUUAAUAGAACCGUAGUCUGUGGGGUGCCUUGGCAUAAGUUUGUUGGAACACAACAUCAGAGAGGGUGAGAAUCCCGUCUUUGGCCUUGGCUGCCCUGCUUAUGAUGCGGCUUCGACGAGUCGGGUUGUUUGGGAAUGCAGCCCAAAAUGGGUGGUAUACUCCAUCUAAAGCUAAAUAAUGGCGAGAGACCGAUAGCGAACAAGUACCGUGAGGGAAAGAUGAAAAGAACUUUGAAAAGAGAGUUAAAAGUGCGUGAAAUUGUUAAAAGGGAAGCGAUUGAAACCAGUAUUGUUGGUGCUGAUGGCACGAGGCGAACGGAAGGCUGUGGUGGAUGGAGUGUGAAAGCGCCCAUUGCUGCUUCUGGAAGGGAGGCUUGUGUCCGCUCUGUACCGACAAGUCAGCAUCAGUUUUGCUUGCUGGACAGCCUGUGAGGAAGGUAGCGUCGCUUCAUCGCGACGAACUUAUAGACUUGCAAAGGCAGCAGUGAGUGGGACUGAGGAACGCAGCGCGUUCGGGGCACCCUCUGAGAUGCGCCGCCUAAUGCCGAAUGCCCAGCACGCUGAGCACCGGUUAGGUGGCGUUAUGAGCGGGGAGGUGCUACUUUAGCGCUUAGGAUGCUGACGAAAUGGUUUUAACCGACCCGUCUUGAAACACGGACCAAGGAGUCUAACAUGAGUGCGAGUAAAUGAGUGGCAAACUCACUUGCGUAAUGAAAGUGAACAAAGGGAUUUGUGUGCGCAAGCAUGCAAUGCACCUUUGACCGAUCAGGAUAUUUUUUGAAAGAUUUGAGUAAGAGCAUUUAUGUUGGGACCCGAAAGAUGGUGAACUAUGCCUGAGUAGGAUGAAGCCAGAGGAAACUCUGGUGGAGGUCCGUAGCGGUUCUGACGUGCAAAUCGAUCGUCAAACUUGGGUAUAGGGGCGAAAGACUAAUCGAACCAUCUAGUAGCUGGUUCCCUC
This 1589-nucleotide unclassified non-coding RNA is filed under the name uncultured fungus. RNAcentral describes it as "sequence contains 18S rRNA gene, ITS1, 5.8S rRNA gene, ITS2, 28S rRNA gene". The stretch from base 483 to 1589 matches the Rfam family "Eukaryotic large subunit ribosomal RNA", at positions 1 to 961 of the family's 3401-position model. Lineage: Eukaryota; Fungi. The record is from RNAcentral.